CUGGUUGAUAUUCCAGUACCACCUCUGUUCCGCUUGAGCAAUGGCGUGACGCAGGAGGAUAGGGUGAGCGGCCUAUUGGAUGGCCGUCUAAGCAGUAAGUGUGGUGUGUAGGCAAAUCCGCACACCAGUAAGCACAAGCUGUGAUGGCGAGGGAAAUUUAAGUACCGAAGUCCCUGAUUUCACACUGCCAAGAAAAGCGUCUAGCGAGGAACAAGGUGCCCGUA
Molecule: ribosomal RNA, 224 nt
Filed under: Brevibacillus laterosporus
Lineage: Bacteria; Bacillati; Bacillota; Bacilli; Caryophanales; Paenibacillaceae
Description: partial 23S ribosomal RNA
Rfam family: Bacterial large subunit ribosomal RNA
Source: RNAcentral